UACGAACCGUACAAACGUUAUUCGGAAUCACUGGGCUUAAAGGGUGCGUAGGCGGCCAUGUAAGUGAGAUGUGAAAUCCCUCGGCUCAACCGAGGAAGUGCAUUUCAUACUGCAUGGCUUGAGGGAGACAGGGGUAAGCGGAACUGAUGGUGGAGCGGUGAAAUGCGUUGAUAUCAUCAGGAACACCGGUGGCGAAAGCGGCUUACUGGGUCUCUUCUGACGCUGAGGUACGAAAGCUAGGGGAGCGAACGGGAUUAGAAACCCCCGUAGUCC
RNAcentral lists this ribosomal RNA (273 nucleotides) under uncultured bacterium. RNAcentral's name for it is "partial 16S ribosomal RNA". It matches the Rfam family "Bacterial small subunit ribosomal RNA", at positions 524 to 796 of the family's 1533-position model. The record is from RNAcentral.